GGGCGACCUCAACCUGACGGAGCGACAGUCCCGCCGCACAGAGGCUGUGACUAGGCUCGGGCGGCCCCGCCAGUGGCCUUCCCCAUCCAGUGUCCCACCUGGGGCCCUGAUGGCCAGGCCACACUACAGUCUGAGCCCACCUGCUGUGGGCAGGGACCCAGCGGGCCUGGAGAGAGACUUCCUUGCUUCAGCUUUCAGAGGCUGGCUUCUUCCCGCCCCUAUCACACUCAGCCACAGCCACCCUUGGUCCUGCCAUGCGAGAAGCCCCAGGUCAUGCAGGUAACUGUCCUGGGACGGGAUGGGGUCACAGGAAAGCCGUUUCCGGUCCUGAGCAAAGAACUGAGCGGGACACUUGGAAGGAGCAGCAAGAGCAAGAUCUAUCGUCAGCAACAGGAGUGAAGGUCCACCCCUCGGGGACAGAGCGUCCAGAAGUGCUCACAGCCUGACAGGGAUAGGUACAGGGUCUCUUGAGGUCCUGCAAUUUGGGGGGCCUGUAGCUGGGGCCUGACAGGAAUCAUGGCCCGGAGCAGUGCCUGACUCACCCACCUGUCCAGAGCGUUUUUUUUUUUGGUACUAGGAAUCAAACUCAGGGCCUUGGACUUGCCAGGCAGGUGCUGCACCGCUGAGCUGCAUCCCUGGCCCUGGAGGGAGUUUUUCACGACCCCAGGCUUGGGGAGGAAGUGUCACGGUGUAGGAGCUGGUGGUGUGGGUGUGUGUGAAAACCGCCACGCAGAUGAAGCUGGACGCCCCGGGGUCCCACACUGCAGUUUUGCACACAGGGCCUCAGGCACAGGGUGACCGCUCCCUCCCGGGGUCUGAUGCUGGGACGCAGCAUCUGUGCUGUCUGGCCGCUCCACUCUUGCUUGUGUUUCAGUCUCCCCGUCCUAUUCCUGAGCUCGUCCCAGGCUGCUGGCUCCGACUGGGCAGUACCGAGCAGCAGUGUCCCCCUUGGGGCAACUGCGCCUGUGGGCAGCACUUACUGAGGCACCUGGAGGGAGCAGGGAAGGCAGGGGGAGGGUGGGCAGUGCACGGUGCAUGUGGUCCUGCUGUCAGCACCGCUGUCCUGUCACUGACACUCCCAGAAGGAGGGGCGUUCAUGUGGCCCUCGGUGUCAGCUGGUCUCUCUCGAGGCAGAAGCAGUGCAGAGAGGGCUGUCCUCGGGCACCCUUUCCCAGUCAGGGUGGUAAGAGGGGCAGACCUGCUCCUCAAGCUGACCGACCCCAGGACAAGAUGGCAAGGCACAGACAAGGGACUCCCAUCCUGAACCCUGGGGGCCCACAACCCUAUGCACAGGGGACCUUGGGAAGGUGGCCCUGCCCUGAAGGGACCCCGCGUCAGUUGUGGAGAGGGAGUAAGGGAAGUGCUGCAAGUGGACCUUCUCGUAAGUAGCUGAACUUCAUGUGUGGUAAAACACACCCACCCCGGGUACAGCUGGACCAGUGCGAGGUGAAUCGGCAUGUGUGUGUGCCACUGCAGGGAUCAGACCUUUCCCCAGCUCCACUCAGCCCGGCCCAGGCGACCUGCUGCCUCUGUCACUGCAGACUGCAGCUGUGGAGACCCCGGCCUGAAAAACAGGACCGAGCCCUUCUCCAUUUUCUUCAGUCUGAGCGUCGGCAUUUUAAUGUCAGCCGUCUCUUUGUUGCAAAGAUCUUCAAGGCAACGAUGUAAAGAACAAGCCCGUGUUUAGCACUUUUCUGCCAAAAUAAUCAUAACAAAAUGUUGGUGUCCACAGCAAGGUGACAUUGGCGGAAUCAGGCUUACCGUGAGUAUUCAGCACGAUGCAGAGCGUUUCCCAAACAACAGACCCCUCUUCAGAGGUAGGGUGUGCAUGGGGCGCUUUCAUCCUGAGGGCUGACUCCAGCCAAGAGGCAGGGACAGGGAGCUGGUGCGGCUGACUGGCAGCCAGCACCACGACUACCACCCCUGCCCCUGCCGAAGUCAGCAUGCAUCAGCGUGCGUGUGUGCGGGUGUGCAUGUGGGUGUGUGUGUGAAUCUGCCCAGCCAUGUCUGCUCCCCUGGGUGGCUUCCAGCCUUUCCCUGGGCCCCACACCAAACCCUCACUGCAGGGAGUGUCCAGCUCACCUUGGGACUGCUCCAGGACGGUGUGCUGACCCCGAGGUGUAAGUGACCUGGGAAGAAGAUUGUCCCUGACCAGAGGACAGUACAAGGACCCAAGGCCAGGGAGAGGCUGCGUGUGGCUGGGCUGUGGCACCUGCUCCAUCCUGGGAGGAAUCUGCUUGCCAACAACCUCAGCUGCUCAUCACCGAAGGACUCUGCUCUGCACUGCCGGUGCUGGAGGGAAAGAGACCAGUGGGCGUUCCAGGACCCCUUCGGCCGGGAAAAUCAGCUGGAGGGAGGCACUGAUCCACAGGACCUGGGGUGACCAAGAGUGGUGCCAGGCGCAUGGGCCUGUGGCGUGGAGGAGGCCGGGACCCCAGCUGAGGGCUGGAAGCCAGGCAGGGCAGCCUUCUCAGAUGUGGGAGGGAGGAGUGUCUGCACUUGGUGUGAAUGUGGCAUUCAGUCCAGCAGCGCCCAGCUGUCCAGCAAGUGCGGUGUGCACAGACCUCACAGAGCAGCACUCAGGGACACGGCUUGGAGGGGACAAAGCUGGGCCCCUGCUCGACCUGUGUCCAGAUCCUCGAGUUUCGCCAGGGCAGCUGUGCAUGCUGCGCUCCCAAGCAGGACCAGCUGCACCCGUCCCGGUCCUCACCACACCUCCACGGGCUCUGUCUCUGCUCCAGCUCUUUGAGGCUCCUCCUGCUUGCCUGUGUGUGGGGACACUGAGGACUUCUGAGACAGAAGGAGAGAGGGUCUUUCUGCAAGGACAGCGCCCUCAACACCAAAUAGGCAUGUGAGGGACACAGCACCCUGGGACGGCCAGUCCUUUAGGUCCCUUUACAAUGGAAGAGGUGUUUUCACAUCCAAACGCUCUCCCAUGCUCAGCCACAUCUCGACAGAAUUAGCGAGACCCGAGAAGACAUUCCUCAGAGGGUGAGUAAUAACUAGAGCCUCAAACAGAUCUGUCCAGGCGUCUCCUAGAAUUGACGGCCCGCGGUGACCUGGAAUCACACAACUGCUUCGCCAGCCACUCCAAGAACCAAUUCCACGAGGACACACAGCUAAUUCAUUAUUUAUGUAGCACAUCAUCUGCCUCCACAGCAGGCAGAGAGCUGGCCAGAUAGGCCUGUGCUGCAUCUUCCUGCUUUCUUUUCUUUCUUGGGAGGGUUGGCUUGAGGUUGAGCCCAUAAGGGGACCCUGGGGUGUCUGUUCGGGUCUCCAUCUUGUCCUGGGGCUGGUGGCUUCUUGUAGAUGUGUCCCUGGGCUCACACUCUUGACCUGGGCCGGUGGCUGCAGGGUCAGUAUCCCAGGGAAUCUCCCUGAGCUCUGGGCACGGGAGGACUGAUCUUCUAGCAAAUGUCCAAGAGUCAUACAUAACCCAGGCUUCGUGGGGCUUGGCGAACCUGGGGUUUUGUCAGUGCAGGACAAUGUGGAUUUGACUCUGUCACUGAACACUGAAGAAUGACAGAAGAACACCCAGCUAGGAUGCAAGGGAGCAGCCUUCCAGAGCUGUCCCCGGGCUGACCUUGGAGGGCCCCUCCACCCCUGGUGUGGACCACAUCCAAUGGCUGAAGGACCAGGUGAACAAAGAGCAGGCUCUGAGCAGGACGGGACCCCUGACAGCAGUGCAUGCAGGUCCCUGCUCCUCCUCAGAGCUCUGGGCUGCCCUGCAGACCUGGGACUUGCCAGCCCCCAUGAGCGCCAUGCCUGGUGUGAACCCACCUGAAAGGCUGGAGCCCAAGCAGCUCGGAGCUUCUCAAACUCAGGAGGAGACAAAGGUGCAGAAAUUAUGUUUCUGCCAAGGCCAGCAGGAGUAAGAGGAGGAGCCGCAUCCAGGACCUUGAUGUCUGCCGAGGACCACCUGCUGGGCCUGCCAUGUGGGGUUCUCUCGGCUGCCACUCUCCUCUGCCGGGGAAACGCAGGGCCUUCGUGGAUCUGAGACGCUGCUGACCUCAGGGUGUCGUGUUGUGGACCCCGAUCAUCAGCGCCUCUGUGGGCGAAUGUGUGCUAUACAGAAAGCACACGUGAGCUGUGUUGGUUACCAGCGCAGUCCUUGCAGGAAAAGGCGCUGCCAGGUUGGUCACCGGCAGGACUGGUCACCAGGAACGGCAGUGGCCGACGCAGAGGAGCUGCGCAGGUGGCAUGUCGGGAGGCCGGCGUGGCACUCAUAGCAUGCGUGUGUUCAUGCACACAACGCCCCCCACUGUGACGAGUCCUGAACACGGUCUGUGCCUGAUCGGCAGGUUGAAGGAAGGCUCGAGUGGUAAGCAGCAGUCCAGGGAUGGAGGUGAGAGUCCCGGCGACCUGGACGCGAGGCAGGAGAGCGCUGUACUCCGCAGAGUCGCUCUUACACCUGACCAGUGCACGCGACUUCCUCUCUCUCCCUGGGUGCUGGAGGGUGGGCGUUUGGCAUUGCAGACACGUGUCCCAGGGCGGGGGCCAAGUGGCCGUGCAUGGGAGGCUGCUCCCUGCCCUCUCCAAGGUUCCGGUACCUGGCGCUCCUUUGGUUUCUGUGUCGUCUACCAUGUCUUCCGCUUGUCUUUCCUCUGCUCAGUCCAUCUUUCCCUCUGAGUUUGCUCUUUCCUGAGGACACAGGAGUCUGCUGGUGAGGGCUCGUCCUGCGACCCCGUCUUCACUAGCGACACCUGCACGGGUCUGUGUCCACAUGAGGUCACGUUCCCUGGUCCAGGCUGGGACUUCAGCAUCUUCAGGGGACACAGAUCAGCCCAUGGCCUCCAGCAGUGCUGGCUACCAGGUGGUGCCCACCACCCUUCCCUCCACUGCAGGCUGCUCCCAGAGGUUCAUCCAGCCUGGAUCGGGAGCUGCUCCCUGGGAACGUGUGAGGCUGCGGGGUCUCCUCCUCAAACCCCGAGUCUACAGAGCCACUACCACCUUGCCCCUACCCCUCCCCUGUGUCCCUCUACAGGGACUUGACCCCUGGAGCCUCAGAGAAGCUGGAAUUGUGUCUGUGUAUUGGAGGUGAGCACCCCGACCCAAGAAUCCAAAACCCAACACAUUGACAUACCAUAAGAAUGUCUCAUGCAGGAAAUUCUGAAAAUUAUCAACGAAGUUACCCUCAGACGUGUGUAUCAGGCAAGCCCUCGAGCUCUGAGCCACACAUCGGCCUUCUGGAUAUUUUUCAACCAAGACACACGAAAGACGCAGAAAUACGUCUAACCAGUAUGGAGGACAGAGCUUUGAAGUCCUGAGGGUAUGUGAGGUGAGAAGCAGGAGCUCUGACCGGCAGAGUAGCCUCCCCCCACAGGCGAGGAGAGAGCGUGGUCCAAGGACCCGAGUGUGUCACCCACGGGAUGGGCGGACUCCCUCCCCACAGUGCGCAGCCCCUGCACAGAACCCUCUGCUCCUGCAAGCAGUGACCUGCAAGCCCCGUGACACCCCAGGGAGUCGUGGCCAUGGGCCUGCUGCCCCUCAGCCUGCCCAGCUCCUCCGGGAGAAAUGAGUGCAACCACACGGAGUCCCGAGAAAGCCACUUCAGGGUACAUGUGGAUGGCAUCACCAUGUCCCAGGUCACAGAACCGCAGGCUCUCGAGGGACCCACACGCACUCACCCCGGAAAGAGGACCUGAUCUGGGGUCUUAUCAAGUGCUUGCAGCUCACCACUGUGUGGAACAUUCCUCCUCCUGCUGCACCCUGUCUUCCAGGGCAGGUGGCUGGGCUCCCGCUUGGCUGCUGGGCACACUGCCCACCAUGGGAGGGCACUGGUGUCCUCCAGGAAGGCAGGCAGCAGUCCCUGCUGUGCCAGUGGCCAAAGCCAUGGGACUGGGGUGAGGAGAAGCUUGGGCAGCAGAUGUGACAGGAGGCCUUGGGGGUCUGGCAGCUGCUGUGGGUGGAAGCUGAGGUGGCAGGUCACCCUCCAGAGCUGUCUGUCCACCCUGGCCUGACCGUGUCCCCUGGGGCUGAGGGCAUGAGAGAGGGGCUCUGGGCUGCAGUGACCACCUGGAGCAGGGCUGAGAUCAGAACCAGAGGAUAUUCACGUCUUCACCGGGAUUGUGAAUGUGUCCUUUCUCUUUAACUUCCAUUAAUUUUUGUGUUUUUGACUUGGGGUUAUAUUUUUAAGUACAUACUAAUUUAGGAUCAUCAUAUUUAUUGACUAAUUGCUUCUUUUAUCACGGUGUAUUAUCUCUUUAUCCCUAGUAAGUUCUGGCUUAAACUCCAUUUCACCUGCUGUGAGUAUAGCUGCACUGGUUCGUGUCCCUGUUGGCCUGAUGUGCUUUCCUUCCGUUUUCUUUGAAUCUUCCUACAUGUCUGUUGUGAACAAGACCUGGCCGAGUCCUCAAACUCAUGAAUAUGAUCCAUUUAUGUUUCUUUUCUUUUGAGGCAAGAUCUCACUGUGUAGCUCAAGCUGGCCUGGAACUUGCAGU
Long non-coding RNA from Chinchilla lanigera (long-tailed chinchilla), 6440 nucleotides. RefSeq lists it as uncharacterized. Lineage: Eukaryota; Metazoa; Chordata; Mammalia; Rodentia; Chinchillidae. The record is from RefSeq and is a predicted model, not a curated record. The transcript has 4 exons.